UCAUAUCUUUCAUCUUUUUUAUUUAUUUAUAUUUUGGUUUCUCCCUGCGAAGAGCCAAGCAGCUUUGUCGCCGCCGGUGGUCUCUCUCGAGACGAUGAUAAAUCGAUGAAGCCGAAGGGAUGAUCCGAUUGUAGUAGACAUACGACGUUCUAUCCAAGUUAAAUCUUGUCUUAUCUAACAGCGGGAAUUGUUUUUCAAUCCAAAGCACGAACGGGCGAAUUUCUAAAGAGGAAUUAGCGAAGACGACGAACGAUCCACGAGCCCUUCUCCUCCUCCUUCUUCUUGUUUGGGUUUUUUUUAGGGGAGACGAUUGCAAAACCAUAAUCUGAGACGUGUAGGAGAGAUUGCGUGUCUGCUACUCUGUUCUUGCUUCCUCAAUCCUCACCCACCAAUUCCACGGUUUGUCU
Camelina sativa (false flax) is the source of this 407-nucleotide non-coding RNA. Lineage: Eukaryota; Viridiplantae; Streptophyta; Magnoliopsida; Brassicales; Brassicaceae. The record is from RefSeq and is a predicted model, not a curated record.